GGCAUAGUGGCGCACGGGUGCGUAACGCGUGGGAAUCUGCCCUGGGGUCUGGGAUAACCGUUGGAAACGACGGCUAAUACCGGAUGAUGAUGAAAAUCCAAAGAUUUAUCGCCCUGGGAUGAGCCCGCGUCGGAUUAGCUAGUUGGUGGGGUAAAGGCCUACCAAGGCGACGAUCCGUAGCUGGUCUGAGAGGAUGAUCAGCCACACUGGGACUGAGACACGGCCCAGACUCCUACGGGAGGCAGCAGUGGGGAAUAUUGGACAAUGGGCGAAAGCCUGAUCCAGCAAUGCCGCGUGAGUGAUGAAGGCCCUAGGGUUGUAAAGCUCUUUUACCCGGGAAGAUAAUGACUGUACCGGGAGAAUAAGCCCCGGCUAACUCCGUGCCAGCAGCCGCGGUAAU
This 400-nucleotide ribosomal RNA is filed under the name uncultured bacterium. RNAcentral describes it as "bacterial SSU rRNA". It matches the Rfam family "Bacterial small subunit ribosomal RNA", at positions 89 to 524 of the family's 1533-position model. The record is from RNAcentral.